UGAGUUGGGUACAUACGCUCCCAGAAGCUCC
RNAcentral lists this non-coding RNA (31 nucleotides) under Mus musculus (house mouse). Lineage: Eukaryota; Metazoa; Chordata; Mammalia; Rodentia; Muridae. The record is from RNAcentral.